ACUAGGUGUCGGGGGUUACCCCCCUCGGUGCCGCAGCUAACGCAUUAAGUACUCCGCCUGGGGAGUACGCACGCAAGUGUGAAACUCAAAGGAAUUGACGGGGACCCGCACAAGUAGCGGAGCAUGUGGUUUAAUUCGAAGCAACGCGAAGAACCUUACCUAAGCUUGACAUCCCUUAGACCGGUGUUUAAUCACACCUUCCCUUCGGGGCUGAGGUGACAGGUGGUGCAUGGUUGUCGUCAGCUCGUGUCGUGAGAUGUUGGGUUAAGUCCCGCAACGAGCGCAACCCUUGUCUUUAGUUGCCAGCAUUCAGUUGGGCACUCUAGAGAGACUGCCAGGGAUAACCUGGAGGAAGGUGGGGAUGACGUCAAAUCAUCAUGCCCCUUAUGCUUAGGGCUACACACGUGCUACAAUGGGUGGUACAGAGGGUUGCCAAACCGUGAGGUGGAGCUAAUCCCUUAAAGCCAUUCUCAGUUCGGAUUGUAGGCUGAAACUCGCCUACAUGAAGCUGGAGUUACUAGUAAUCGCAGAUCAGAAUGCUGCGGUGAAUGCGUUCCCGGGUCUUGUACACACCGCCCGUCACACCAUGGGAGUCGGAAACACCCGAAGCCGAUUAUCCAACCGCAAGGAGGAAGUCGUCGAAGGUGGCGUCGAUAACUGGGGUGAAGUCGUAACAAGGUAGCCGUAUCG
This 690-nucleotide ribosomal RNA is filed under the name human gut metagenome. RNAcentral describes it as "bacterial SSU rRNA". It matches the Rfam family "Bacterial small subunit ribosomal RNA", at positions 815 to 1507 of the family's 1533-position model. The record is from RNAcentral.